GACGAACGCUGGCGGCGUGCUUAACACAUGCCAGUCGAACGGAAAGGCCCCUUUGGGGGUACUCGAGUGGCGAACGGGUGAGUAACACGUGAGUAACCUGCCCUUGACUUCGGGAUAACUUCAGGAAACUGGGGCUAAUACCGGAUAGGAAUCCUUGCUGCAUGGUGGGGGUUGGAAAGCUUCGGCGGUUUUGGAUGGACUCGCGGCUUAUCAGCUUGUUGGUGGGGUAGUGGCUUACCAAGGCUUUGACGGGUAGCCGGCCUGAGAGGGCGACCGGCCACAUUGGGACUGAGAUACGGCCCAGACUCCUACGGGAGGCAGCAGUGGGGAAGAGUGCACAAUGGGCGGAAGCCUGAUGCAGCAACGCCGCGUGCGGGAUGACGGCCUUCGGGUUGGAAACCGCGUUCAGCAGGGGCGAAGCUUGUGGUGACGGUACCUGCAGAAGAAGCACCGGCUAACUACGUG
This 465-nucleotide ribosomal RNA is filed under the name uncultured bacterium. Its description in RNAcentral is "partial 16S ribosomal RNA". It matches the Rfam family "Bacterial small subunit ribosomal RNA", at positions 28 to 507 of the family's 1533-position model. The record is from RNAcentral.